This 519-nucleotide ribosomal RNA is filed under the name uncultured bacterium ECS38. RNAcentral describes it as "bacterial SSU rRNA". It matches the Rfam family "Bacterial small subunit ribosomal RNA", at positions 965 to 1482 of the family's 1533-position model. The record is from RNAcentral.
AGAACCUUACCAGGUUCUUGACAUCCUGAGAACUAGCAGAGAUGCUUUGGUGCCUUCAAGGAACUCAGAGACAGGUGCUGCAUGGCUGUCGUCAGCUCGUGUUGUGAAAUGUUGGGUUAAGUCCCGGUAACGAGCGCAACCCUGUCCUUAGUUGCCAGCACGUAAUGGUGGGAACUCUAAGGAGACUGCCGGUGACAAACCGGAGGAAGGUGGGGACGACGUCAAGUCAUCAUGGCCCUUACGACCUGGGCUACACACGUGCUACAAUGGGAAGUACAAAGGGUUGCGAAGCGGCGACGUGGAGCCAAUCCCAUAAAACUUUUCGUAGUCCGGAUUGAAGUCUGCAACUCGACUUCAUGAAGUCGGAAUCGCUAGUAAUCGCGAAUCAGAAUGUCGCGGUGAAUACGUUCCCGGGCUUUGUACACACCGCCCGUCACACCAUGGGAGUGGGUUGCUCCAGAAGUGGUUAGUCUAACCUUCGGGGGGACGAUCACCACGGAGUGAUUCAUGACUGGGGUG